This 456-nucleotide ribosomal RNA is filed under the name uncultured cyanobacterium. Its description in RNAcentral is "bacterial SSU rRNA". It matches the Rfam family "Bacterial small subunit ribosomal RNA", at positions 224 to 694 of the family's 1533-position model. Lineage: Bacteria; Bacillati; Cyanobacteriota. The record is from RNAcentral.
GAUGAGCUCGCGUCCGAUUAGCUAGUUGGCGGAGUAAUAGCCCACCAAGGCGACGAUCGGUAGCUGGUCUGAGAGGACGAUCAGCCACACUGGAACUGAGACACGGUCCAGACUCCUACGGGAGGCAGCAGUGGGGAAUUUUCCGCAAUGGGCGCAAGCCUGACGGAGCAAGACCGCGUGGGGGAGGAAGGCUCUUGGGUUGUAAACCCCUUUUCUCUGGGAAGAACAAAAUGACGGUACCAGAGGAAUCAGCAUCGGCUAACUCCGUGCCAGCAGCCGCGGUAAGACGGAGGAUGCAAGCGUUAUCCGGAAUGAUUGGGCGUAAAGCGUCCGCGGGUGGCAGUUCAAGUCUGCUGUCAAAGACCGGGGCUUAACUUCGGACAGGCAGUGGAAACUGAACAGCUAGAGUAUGGUAGGGGCAAAGGGAAUUCCUGGUGUAGCGGUGAAAUGCGUAGA